This 510-nucleotide ribosomal RNA is filed under the name uncultured bacterium. RNAcentral's name for it is "partial 16S ribosomal RNA". It matches the Rfam family "Bacterial small subunit ribosomal RNA", at positions 28 to 507 of the family's 1533-position model. The record is from RNAcentral.
GACGAACGCUGGCGGCGUGCUUAACACAUGCAAGUCGAACGAAGAGCGAUGGAAGCUUGCUUCUAUCAAUCUUAGUGGCGAACGGGUGAGUAACGCGUAAUCAACCUGCCCUUCAGAGGGGGACAACAGUUGGAAACGACUGCUAAUACCGCAUACGAUCUAAUCUCGGCAUCGAGGAUGGAUGAAAGGUGGCCUCUACAUGUAAGCUAUCACUGAAGGAGGGGAUUGCGUCUGAUUAGCUAGUUGGAGGGGUAACGGCCCACCAAGGCGAUGAUCAGUAGCCGGUCUGAGAGGAUGAACGGCCACAUUGGGACUGAGACACGGCCCAGACUCCUACGGGAGGCAGCAGUGGGGAAUCUUCCGCAAUGGACGAAAGUCUGACGGAGCAGCGCCGCGUGAGUGAUGACGGCCUUCGGGUUGUAAAGCUCUGUUAAUCGGGACGAAAGGCCUUCUUGCGAAUAGUGAGAAGGAUUGACGGUACCGGAAUAGAAAGCCACGGCUAACUACGUG